GGGGCUGUAGCUCAGGGGUUAGAGUGUCUCCUUCGCAUGUGCGCCUCGACGACGCGAAACAUACGAAGAAGAUUUCCUUCUUGAACGGAUUUUAAGAGGAGAAGGUCCGGGGUUCAAAUCCCCGCUGCUCCA
Non-coding RNA from Acaromyces ingoldii, 132 nucleotides. The record is from the annotation of a RefSeq genome assembly. NCBI's taxonomy places the organism in Eukaryota, Fungi, Basidiomycota, Exobasidiomycetes, Exobasidiales, Cryptobasidiaceae.